GAUGAACGCUGACAGAAUGCUUAACACAUGCAAGUCAACUUUGAACUUCGGUUUGGGUGGGCGGACGGGUGAGUAACGCGUAAAGAACUUGCCUCACAGUUAGGGACAAACAUUUUGGAAACGAAUGCUAAUACCUGAUAUUAUGAUUUUAGGGCAUCCUAGAAUUAUGAAAGCUAUAUGCGCUGUGAGAGAGCUUUGCGUCCUAUUAGCUAGUUGGAGAGGUAACGGCUCACCAAGGCGAUGAUGGGUAGCCGGCCUGAGAGGGUGAACGGCCACAAGGGGACUGAGACACGGCCCUUACUCCUACGGGAGGCAGCAGUGGGGAAUAUUGGACAAUGGACCAAGAGUCUGAUCCAGCAAUUCUGUGUGCACGAUGAAGUUUUUCGGAAUGUAAAGUGCUUUCAGUUGGGAAGAAAAAAAUGACGGUACCAACAGAAGAAGUGACGGCUAAAUACGUGCCAGCAGCCGCGGUAAUACGUAUGUCACAAGCGUUAUCCGGAUUUAUUGGGCGUAAAGCGCGUCUAGGUGGUUAUAUAAGUCUGAUGUGAAAAUGCAGGGCUCAACUCUGUAUUGCGUUGGAAACUGUGUAACUAGAGUACUGGAGAGGUAAGCGGAACUACAAGUGUAGAGGUGAAAUUCGUAGAUAUUUGUAGGAAUGCCGAUGGGGAAGCCAGCUUACUGGACAGAUACUGACGCUGAAGCGCGAAAGCGUGGGUAGCAAACAGG
RNAcentral lists this ribosomal RNA (726 nucleotides) under uncultured Fusobacterium sp. RNAcentral's name for it is "bacterial SSU rRNA". It matches the Rfam family "Bacterial small subunit ribosomal RNA", at positions 28 to 776 of the family's 1533-position model. Lineage: Bacteria; Fusobacteriati; Fusobacteriota; Fusobacteriia; Fusobacteriales; Fusobacteriaceae. The record is from RNAcentral.